CUAGUAGCUCUCUUGGUCUCUCACUCCCCUUCACGAAAGACAAAUCCUGAGAAGGGCUUCACCACAUUCGAGUCAAGGGUUUCUCUGAUUCAAGACGAAAUUACUACAGUUGAAAUUUCUUGUUUCAAUCCGCGAAGAACAACGAAGGAGCUUUACGGAUCUAAAUAGAUUUAUUGAUGAGAAGAGUGAAAGCAGAGGAACUGCUGAAUUGUUUGGUGCUCUAAGGGGUCGUCUAGGUGACAGCAACAAAAAUUUAGUCAUGGAAACAUUGACAUGCAUUGGCAAUGUUGCAUGUGCAAUGGGUCCAGCUGUUGAGAAAGCAAGCAAGGUUGAUUUCUAAUUCAUGAUCGCUAAUUUUAUGUAGUGUACUCUUUA
Long non-coding RNA from Humulus lupulus (European hop), 375 nucleotides. RefSeq lists it as uncharacterized. The transcript has 3 exons. NCBI's taxonomy places the organism in Eukaryota, Viridiplantae, Streptophyta, Magnoliopsida, Rosales, Cannabaceae. The record is from RefSeq and is a predicted model, not a curated record.